Molecule: unclassified non-coding RNA, 2736 nt
Filed under: Hevea brasiliensis (rubber tree)
Lineage: Eukaryota; Viridiplantae; Streptophyta; Magnoliopsida; Malpighiales; Euphorbiaceae
Source: RNAcentral
GAGAGAGAGAGAGAGAGACUUGUUCCUUGUUUUGUUGGCCAAUAUGGCAUUAAAAGUUACAUUGGCAAUUGCCUAGAAGUAAAUAAAUUUUGGCUGAUAUCAAUUCUCAUCUCAUAGUCAGCUUUAGAGCUAAAGAAUUGUUGUUGGUUCUUUUGUCUUUGUUCAUAAGCUUUUUAUCAUUUAUUACCAACAAUUAUAAAAUUUUGCAUGACCAGAAGAGCUAUUGAAACCAGAAAAUAGACCAAUGUGAUGUCAGACUCAUUAAGCUGUGCGUUCAAUGAGAAAUUUUUGCUUUUUGUUUGAUUGAAGUUUUGUGUUGCGUUUUGCAAAAUGGAUGACUCAAGCUUAAUUUGCUUCAUGGAAUGUAGACUGAUAGUUAAUUUGGUUCCAAAUAAUGACAUUAUUGAACUGCUAAACUUAAAAACUUGUUUUCCACAAGGAAUAAAUUUUAUAUUACUAUUGCACAGACCCCCUCCCCCUCCACACCCACCUACUCCUUGCAUGCAUGCACACUAUCAAGAUUGAAGAAAACCAUUAUAUCUCGUGUAGUUAGGGAAAGGCUUUGCAAUUAUAUCAAGUUCUUCUGGGUUCUUGCUGCUAAUCUAGGUAAAAUUUUCAAUUAUUAUGUGGUCACUGAACACUUAAAUGUCUGAUCUGGAUGCUAUUUCUUUGUACAGAAACCUAUAGUUCCAACUGAUUUGUACAGAUCAGUGCGUGAUUCACAGCUUAUAGGAAUGUCGGGUUACUCAAUAGAGGUGCUAAUUUUAUGUUUGAAUUUAUCAUGCUUAUGGUUUUUUUAUUUAGUUUAGAACAAUUAAGAUACUGCUGUAUCUUGCUCAAUGAUGCACCAAAUAUUUGUUUACAUUUUCUAGAGGAGUGUAUGCUGUCAGAAAUUCCUUAACUUAUUCUGUCUUCUUCAGGGGCUUCCAGUCUUUGCUUUUGGUGUUGGGCUCAGCACAUAUGAUAAAGCAUCUGUAAGUAUCACGAUAAAUGUCUUCCUGAUUUUUCAUUCUGACAGCUCUUUAAAUUUAGAUUAGUAAUUAAAUCUUAAUGAGGUGUUUUGGAGUAUUCUGACUUUAAGUAUGAUAAACGAUAACACUGUUGUCCAUUUCUUAUUUCAUCACAGGUCCACUACUAUGUUCAGUCGCAUAUUCAAAUAAAUGAAUAUCGGGACCGUAUAAUUCUGCCUUCUGCUUCAAAAAAAUAUGGGCGACCAAUAACCACCUGUGUGAAGGUUUUGGAUAUGACUGGUUUGAAGCUGUCAGCACUUAGCCAAAUAAAGUUGCUGACAAUCAUAUCAACUGUUGAUGACUUGAAUUAUCCUGAGAAAACAAAAACAUAUUACAUUGUAAAUGCCCCAUAUAUAUUUUCAGCAUGUUGGAAGGUUGUAAAGCCCCUCUUACAAGAAAGAACAAGGAGAAAAAUUCAGGUGUUGCAAGGUUGUGGAAGAGAUGAAUUGCUAAAGGCAAGCAAAUAUAACUAAUUAUUGUUUCUAAACUCUCUCCUAAGCAUGCACUCUUCUAUUUUUAUCUUCUAAAUGGACCUUACUCCAUGUUUACACUAAAAUAUCUAAAAAUAACCAUGAAUUGAAAGUACAUUUUUACAUGGUUGAUUGCUAAUAUAAACGUGGUUAUGUCAUAUUUAUAUUCUAUUGAAGUACAAUAAAAGUAGGUUUGGCAAAGCCACACCUUCAAAUGAGGUUGCCUAUAUAACUAAUUAUCUUUGUAAGUCAUUCCUGUCAAAGCAAUGAAGCACUCGUACGAUCAAUCCCAAAUUGUUUUCCUAAAAGGUAUUCCUUGACCCUCCAACACAGCUGCCUAUAAGAGGGCUAGUUUGUCUGCCCUAGGGUACUUGGCCAAUAAUGAUAUUAUCGUGCUAGUCAUGAUGUUCCCUAGUUUGUGUUGUCCAUGAUUUACUAUUCUGUUGUUCAUUUUGUUUCCCUUUUGUAAUUUGUGUUGGUGUUAUCCAUGAUGCCAACUAAAAUUGUUUUCAUUCUUUUAUCCAUUGCAGAUGUUCUAUCUAUUUAAGAAUGCUAAGUACAUCUGUUUCCUCCAUGAUCAAAGUAAUCUGAAGUUUGACCCUUUUGAUUUCAUUUCUACGCAGAUUAUGGAUCAUACAUCCCUUCCACAUUUUUUUAGAAAAGGAUCUGGCUCAUCUCACUGCAUAGGGAACGGAACUAUUGACAAUUGUUUCUCCUUGGAUCACGACUUCCAUCAACAGGUAUACAAUUACAUCCAACAGCAAGCCGCUCUUCUAGAAUCAGUUUCACCAAUCAAGCAGGGGUCAGUCCACGUGGAUAUCCCAGAGUCAGACUCAGAAGAUGCCAAGAUUGCUAAGACAAUCGAAUCCGAGUUCCAAAAGUUUGGGGGUCUGAAUGGACUCUCUAACUCAUUAAAUGGCCUUAAAGUUGAAAGUUGAAUAAUAUCAACUUCGAAUCCUUGAUAACACACCAGAUCCCCAACUCUUGGUGGCUGAUUGAUCCUGACAGCUUUGGUGGCAACUCUUUGUACUUGAGUUACCCAAUACGUUAGUGCUCACUUGCAUCAGCUCGAUGCAGGAUUGGCAAGAUAAAGCUCUAAUAUUUUUGUAAAUUGAUAUUACCAAUUUGGAGUGGACAAUUAUAACUAUGGCAUUUUAUGACCAUUUUACUCUGAUGAUAGAGUAAAAACUAUUGCAUUAUCUGUUGUCUCUGAAGCUAUUGCAUUUGCAUGCCAGUAUAUGUUAUCUCAUGCCCUG